GGGUCUGUAAGUUAAAAAAAGACUAAAGAACUGCAAAUUCUAAAGUAUCAAAAGUGAGGAUUGAUCGGUCUCG
This 73-nucleotide transfer RNA is filed under the name Polycarpa mytiligera. RNAcentral describes it as "transfer RNA-Cys". Lineage: Eukaryota; Metazoa; Chordata; Ascidiacea; Stolidobranchia; Styelidae. The record is from RNAcentral.